GACGAACGCUGGCGGCGUGCUUAACACGUGCAAGUCGAACGGUAAGGCCCCUCGGGGUACACGAGUGGCGAACGGGUGAGUAACACGUGGGUGAUCUGCCCUGCACUUCGGGAUAAGCCUGGGAAACCGGGUCUAAUACCGGAUAGGACCACUGCCUGCAUGGGUGGUGGUGGAAAGCUUUUGCGGUGUGGGAUGGGCCCGCGGCCUAUCAGCUUGUUGGUGGGGUGAUGGCCUACCAAGGCGACGACGGGUAGCCGGCCUGAGAGGGUGACCGGCCACACGGGGACGGGGAUACGGCCCAGGCUCCUACGGGAGGCAGCAGUGGGGGAUAUUGCACAAUGGGCGCAAGCCUGAGGCAGCGACGCCGCGUGAGGGGUGACGGCCUUCGGGUUGUAAACCUCUUUCAGCACCGACGAAGCGCAGGUGACGGUAGGUGCAGAAGAAGGACCGGCCAACUACGUGCCAGCCGCCGCAGUAA
RNAcentral lists this ribosomal RNA (478 nucleotides) under uncultured bacterium. RNAcentral describes it as "partial 16S ribosomal RNA". It matches the Rfam family "Bacterial small subunit ribosomal RNA", at positions 28 to 523 of the family's 1533-position model. The record is from RNAcentral.